CCACUGACUGGCAGGGGAGAUGCCAUGAUCAGGAAGGUGGUUGUCCCAGGACGAAGCUUCCCCACUGCACUCAGAUGUGCUGACCCUGCGAUUUCUCCAAAUGUGGGAAACUUGACUGCAUAAUUUGUGGUAGUGGGGGAUUAAAAAAAAAAAAAAACAUACAUUUUUA
Non-coding RNA from Otolemur garnettii (small-eared galago), 169 nucleotides. The record is from Rfam. Lineage: Eukaryota; Metazoa; Chordata; Mammalia; Primates; Galagidae.